This is a small nucleolar RNA of Cervus hanglu yarkandensis (Yarkand deer), 112 nucleotides long. NCBI's taxonomy places the organism in Eukaryota, Metazoa, Chordata, Mammalia, Artiodactyla, Cervidae. The record is from Ensembl.
AUCGAGGCUAGAGCCACACUUGGGUAUCAGCUGUUGCCUUUGUGUGCUAGAGUCCUUGAAGAGUAACUGCUGACCUUAGUCACUCACUGUGGCCCUCAGGACAUAAUCACCA